RNAcentral lists this ribosomal RNA (427 nucleotides) under uncultured bacterium. RNAcentral's name for it is "bacterial SSU rRNA". It matches the Rfam family "Bacterial small subunit ribosomal RNA", at positions 355 to 774 of the family's 1533-position model. The record is from RNAcentral.
UGGGGAAUCUUGCACAAUGGGGGCAACCCUGAUGCAGCGACGCCGCGUGAGCGAUGAAGCCCUUCGGGGCGUAAAGCUCUUUUAGUCGGAAAGAAAGAGUUGCAAUGAAUAAUUGUGAUUUAUGACGGUACCGACAGAAAAAGCACCGGCUAACUACGUGCCAGCAGCCGCGGUAAUACGUAGGGUGCGAGCGUUAAUCGGAAUUACUGGGCGUAAAGCGUGCGUAGGUGGUUGUUUAAGUCUGAUGUGAAAGCCCUGGGCUCAACCUGGGAAUGGCAUUGGAAACUGGGCAGCUAGAGUGCGGUAGAGGGUAGUGGAAUUCCCGGUGUAGCAGUGAAAUGCGUAGAGAUCGGGAGGAACAUCUGUGGCGAAGGCGACUGCCUGGACCAGCACUGACACUGAGGCACGAAAGCGUGGGGAGCAAACA